GACGAACGCUGGCGGCGUGCUUAACACAUGCAAGUCGAACGGAAAGGCCUCUUUCGGGGGGUACUCGAGUGGCGAACGGGUGAGUAACACGUGAGUAACCUGCCCUUGACUUUGGGAUAACUUCAGGAAACUGGGGCUAAUACCGGAUAGGAGCUCCUGCUGCAUGGUGGGGGUUGGAAAGUUUCGGCGGUUGGGGAUGGACUCGCGGCUUAUCAGCUUGUUGGUGGGGUAGUGGCUUACCAAGGCUUUGACGGGUAGCCGGCCUGAGAGGGUGACCGGCCACAUCGGGACUGGGAUACGGCCCAGACUCCUACGGGAGGCAGCAGUGGGGAAUAUUGCACAAUGGGUGGAAGCCUGAUGCAGCAACGCCGUGUGCGGGAUGACGGCCUUCGGGUUGUAAACCGCUUUCGCUCAUGACGAAGCUUUGUGUGACGGUAGUGGGUAAAGAAGCACCGGCUAACUACGUG
This 467-nucleotide ribosomal RNA is filed under the name uncultured bacterium. RNAcentral's name for it is "partial 16S ribosomal RNA". It matches the Rfam family "Bacterial small subunit ribosomal RNA", at positions 28 to 507 of the family's 1533-position model. The record is from RNAcentral.